UGACGGUAUCUUACCAGAAAGGGACGGCUAACUACGUGCCAGCAGCCGCGGUAAUACGUAGGUCCCGAGCGUUGUCCGGAUUUAUUGGGCGUAAAGCGAGCGCAGGCGGUUUAAUAAGUCUGAAGUUAAAGGCAGUGGCUUAACCAUUGUUCGCUUUGGAAACUGUUAGACUUGAGUGCAGAAGGGGAGAGUGGAAUUCCAUGUGUAGCGGUGAAAUGCGUAGAUAUAUGGAGGAACACCGGUGGCGAAAGCGGCUCUCUGGUCUGUAACUGACGCUGAGGCUCGAAAGCGUGGGGAGCAAACAGGAUUAGAUACCCUG
Molecule: ribosomal RNA, 319 nt
Filed under: uncultured bacterium
Lineage: Bacteria
Description: bacterial SSU rRNA
Rfam family: Bacterial small subunit ribosomal RNA
Source: RNAcentral